Molecule: transfer RNA, 73 nt
Filed under: Mus musculus (house mouse)
Lineage: Eukaryota; Metazoa; Chordata; Mammalia; Rodentia; Muridae
Description: tRNA-Ile
Rfam family: tRNA (bases 8-65)
About the family: Transfer RNA (tRNA) molecules are approximately 80 nucleotides in length. Their secondary structure includes four short double-helical elements and three loops (D, anti-codon, and T loops). Further hydrogen bonds mediate the characteristic L-shaped molecular structure. tRNAs have two regions of fundamental functional importance: the anti-codon, which is responsible for specific mRNA codon recognition, and the 3' end, to which the tRNAs corresponding amino acid is attached (by aminoacyl-tRNA synthetases). tRNAs cope with the degeneracy of the genetic code in two manners: having more than one tRNA (with a specific anti-codon) for a particular amino acid; and 'wobble' base-pairing, i.e. permitting non-standard base-pairing at the 3rd anti-codon position.
Source: RNAcentral
GGAGAGAUGGCUCAGUGGUUAAGAGCACUGACUGAUCUUCCAGAGAUCCUGAGUUCAAUUCUCAGCAACCACA